Molecule: long non-coding RNA, 945 nt
Organism: Phascolarctos cinereus (koala)
Lineage: Eukaryota; Metazoa; Chordata; Mammalia; Diprotodontia; Phascolarctidae
Source: RefSeq, a predicted model, not a curated record
AUUAUAUGCCAAUAAAUUUAACAAUUUAAGUGAAAUGGAAUGAUCAUGAUGGAAUGCUGCUGGGCUGUGGAAAGUGAAGAGCUGGUUCAUUUGGGAGGAACAUGGAGGGACUUGCACAAAAAGGUGAGGAGUGGAAUGAGUAGAACCAGGAGAGCAUUGUACAUAGUAACAGCAAUGUUGUUUGGGAGUGACUUUAAACAACUGGGUCAUUUUGAGUAUUGUAGAUACUUAAGUCAACUGCAGGGGACCUGUGGGGGAGGAUGCUGUCUACAUCUGGGGAAAGAAACUGACAGAUGGAGAAACCUGAAUGGACCAUUUUCUACCACAAGGACUCCUGGAAUGGAUGCUGUGCCUCUCAUUCCUGGAGCUCCAAGGAUAGUUUCCUCACCUACAAAAUGAGAGUGCUGAACUAAAAUGAUCUCCAAGGUCCCUUAGAGCUUUAACAGUCGACGGAUAUUGCUUUAUAAUCAAAAUCAGCUCAGAAUGGGCCUACAUCAUUUUGAAAGCUUGAAAAUCUCAUCUAAAUGUCAGUCUGGCAUGUGAGAUAGAGGGCUGGCUGGGGAGUCUGAAAGUCCUUGCCUCAGGGAUGUGAAGACAGAGAAUUGGCAGAAUUCUGAAAAUGAAGACUCUUUUUCCAAAGUGAAUUGCCGGCCAUCAGCAGAGCUUCCUUGGGGCAGUGCAGACCCGGCUCUCUACUGACCAGCAAGGCAGACCAGCCGACCAAGCUCUGAAAUUCUCUGGUUCAGUGAUUGCUGAGUAUAUGAGCUACACCUGGGAUGUGGUGAGGCCUGGUAUUUGUUCGUUACCACCUUGCGAUCCUCCAGAGAGAUGAAUGGACUGCCUUUGAGGCUUUCCAGGUUGACUCCUUGGUACCCUGCUUCAUGAACUCUGUUCCAAUCAAACUCACCUACCAGCUAUUGCUAAAUAAACAUUGCAUCUCACCUA